RNAcentral lists this ribosomal RNA (92 nucleotides) under Triticum aestivum (bread wheat). The record is from RNAcentral. Lineage: Eukaryota; Viridiplantae; Streptophyta; Magnoliopsida; Poales; Poaceae.
AAAACUAGCCAGUCUUUUGGGUAUGAAGCCCAUUUGGGCGAGAGUAGUACUAGGAUGGAUGACCUCCUGGAAAGUCCUCGUGAAAGGGUUUC